UGCUGCCAUCCUCGGAUUUUAAAGUGCUGCUUGCAGUACUUUGUCUUCUGAAGGUUUGUCAGCUUUUCCAUCACAGACCCUGCUGAACGGCAUACGGAGUAGGAAUUAUUAUCUUCAGCCAGCUGAAAUGGCAAAUAAGACCCAACUCAUUGGGACUACAAUCCCACAUAGUUGUGGGAGAAAAACAAGAGCUCUGCCUGCAUGAUCUCCUGCACCUCUGGCCAGCAAGGAGGGCUAUUGGAGAGAAUAGAGUUCCCUGCACUGCUCCACAACAGGCCAGAGCAUCACGGACUGCAGAGCUGGGGCUGUCUGGAUAAUAACACUGGGUCAGACCUCACUCUUCAACCCAGUUCUGUCAAAGGACCUUCAAUUGUCACUGACAUUAAGAAAAAUGUUUUUCCCCCAGAACUGACAGCUGGAAACACCUGGAUAGUAAGUACAGCAACUUUACGCAAUUGUAUUUUCUCUUCUCUGACACAUUGUUCCUCAUCUGGCCAAGUCACUAAAUCAAGUGUCUGCUGGAGACAAUAAACUAGAUUUUGAUUUAAUUAAGGUCUUUGUACUGUUGCCAUGGCAAAGCUGUUUGGGCUGAAUGACUGGGACCUGUCCACUAUUCUUGAAAGUUACG
Oxyura jamaicensis (ruddy duck) is the source of this 628-nucleotide long non-coding RNA. RefSeq lists it as uncharacterized. The transcript is spliced from 3 exons. NCBI's taxonomy places the organism in Eukaryota, Metazoa, Chordata, Aves, Anseriformes, Anatidae. The record is from RefSeq and is a predicted model, not a curated record.